CUGCUGCCUCCCGUAGGAGUCUGGUCCGUGUCUCAGUACCAGUGUGGGGGACCUUCCUCUCAGAACCUCUAGACAUCGUCGCCUUGGUGGGCCGUUACCCCGCCAACUAGCUAAUGUCACGCAUGCCCAUCCGUCUCCGGAGUCGCCUCCUUUGGCCGAAAGAAGAUGCCUCCCCUCGGCCACAUGCGGUAUUAGGCCGGAUUUCUCCGGGUUAUCCCGCUGAAACGGGCAGGUUGCAUACGCGUUACUCACCCGUGCGCCGG
This 263-nucleotide ribosomal RNA is filed under the name uncultured bacterium. Its description in RNAcentral is "partial 16S ribosomal RNA". The record is from RNAcentral.